CCCUUAGAUGUUCUGGGCCGUACGCGCGCUACACUGACGAAUGCAACGAGCUUAUAACCUUGGCCGAAAGGUCUGGGUAAUCUCCAAAUUUCGUCGUGAUGGGGAUAGAUUAUUGCAAUUAUUAAUCUUCAACGAGGAAUGCCUAGUAAGCGCAAGUCAUCAGCUUGCGUUGAUUACGUCCCUGCCCUUUGUACACACCGCCCGUCGCUCCUACCGAUUGAAUGGUCCGGUGAAGCGUUCGGGCCGCUUCCUUUGGACGGGCAACCGUCUGUUGGUCGUGGGAAGUUCGUUAAACCUUAUCAUUUAGAGGAAGGAGAAGUCGUAACA
RNAcentral lists this ribosomal RNA (327 nucleotides) under uncultured eukaryote. RNAcentral's name for it is "partial 18S ribosomal RNA". It matches the Rfam family "Eukaryotic small subunit ribosomal RNA", at positions 1470 to 1796 of the family's 1831-position model. The record is from RNAcentral.